This is a non-coding RNA of Labrus bergylta (ballan wrasse), 1690 nucleotides long. NCBI's taxonomy places the organism in Eukaryota, Metazoa, Chordata, Actinopteri, Labriformes, Labridae. The record is from RefSeq and is a predicted model, not a curated record.
AUUGGGUGAGAGAAAGUCAUAGGAGUCAGAAGGAAACAUGUCUGCAGCUGCCUCUGAUACGUGAGUAGACCUCUGCCCAGGUGAAGCUGAUGAUCCCCUAAGGAGGUGCACCUGGCCUCAAUGCUUAAAGGCACAGUGCUUGCUUCAGACAGAGAGAGGCUUUAGGAGCUGGGACUGCUGUGCUGUGGAGUUAAAAAGGCUGAGGUGAAGUUGUGUAACCGCAGGGAUGAAUUUCCAUGAUAAGAAGAUGGAGACAAUGUAACCGCUGUGAAAAAUUCCCCCAGACUCCUGCCCGUCUCGGCUGUUUAUUAUCGUGGAAUUGCGAGACAGACAUUGAAAGAGUCCAAAAAUAGAUCUGAGAUUCUUGGAAGGCAUUUCCACAGUUUAGAAAUGGCAACAAUCCUAAGUACAUACUGAAGAUAUAGUCCAGCUGACUGCUUUCACUUAGAGGAUCACCAUUUAGAAGACUGCUUUGGAAAAUGCUUUUGCAAAAUUAUGAAUUAUUAACCAGUACCAUCCUUUUUCAUCUUUAACAUUUAAAAUGAUUCUGUCACCACAAAAAAGGUUAACUCUAUCUGGAUUUAUUGCUUGAUGUAACCGUUUAAAGCCAGAGUGUAAUCUGUGUACAAACAGAAACUGUCCAGGAAAUGUGUGCCUUUUUUUUUUUUUACGCUGAUGAUGAAGCUUCCAGUUACUAAACUGCAACCUGAGAGGCAGAGUGACUCUUCACUGACGUCCACGUCCUUUUUUCAAAAAUAGAACACUAACUGUGCUUUUCAUGUAUGAAGAAUUGCAGCAGAAAUGGCACACCAUCAUCGCUUACAUCAUACUAUGACUGUGCCUGCUUUCAUGAAUUCAGUACUCAAUAUUUAGCAAAGUUCCAGUGGAAUUGAAUAACUGCCUUUAAGAGGCAGAAACCUCGAGCAAAACCAGACUCAUGAGGAACAGCCAUCUGCAGCAACAAUUUUGAACUUUGAAGGCAUGUGAAGCAGGCUUUGUACCAACGUUUUCAAUCACACUGUUUCUCCUGGGUUGAGCCACGAGACUUACUGAAGAGGAAUUCUGGGAACUGAAGAGGUCCUGUGUGUUACAGUUUGAAAUGUAUCUCUCUCUCUCUCUCUCUCUCUCUCUCUCUCUCUGUAUGUUGCCCCACUAAACAUUGAGAUUCAUGAUUACAUUUCCUUAUUUCAUGUUUUUAUUUAUUUAUUGUUAUUCUGGUAUUAUUGAGUGCUUCAUAAAUUACAGAGUCAAUUUAACUUUUAUUGUUUCCACCUCCCUGUCAGGAAUGGUCACCUUAACUGUAGAUUUAACUCUCUAAGAUUGUGUCAACGGCAGGCAAAAUAGUGAGAAAACCACAAAAACCUCCAUCUCAAUUAUGGACUGAUAUGACAAUGAAGAGAGCGAGGAGUAUCCCAGCAGAUAAUUCCCAACCUCUCUUCUUCCGGUUUGAGCCUUUGAGCUGUAGGAGGCGCUAUAUAGAGUCCGUCUGGCAAUUAAAAUAUCUUACAACAUGACUCUGCUCGCUUAUCUGUGUUACUGACUGGCUGAAUGUGUUUAUACUGUUUUAUUUAUCUGGAGAGCCUAGAACAGAUUUCCACCUCUGGUGGACAAUAAAGAUUUGAUCUAUUCUGUUCUAUGCUAGGCACGUUGUGUAUUAAAAGUGUUAAACAAAUAAAGUCUGAUGGCUCUU